GAUGGACGCUGGCGGCGUGCCUAAUACAUGCAAGUCGAGCGAACGGACGAGAAGCUUGCUUCUCUGAUGUUAGCGGCGGACGGGCGAGUAACACGUGGAUAACCUACCUAUAAGACUGGGAUAACUUCGGGAAACCGGAGCUAAUACCGGAUAAUAUUUUGAACCGCAUGGUUCAAAAGUGAAAGACGGUCUUGCUGACACUUAUAGAUGGAUCCGCGCUGCAUUAGCUAGUUGGUAAGGUAACGGCUUACCAAGGCAACGAUGCAUAGCCGACCUGAGAGGGUGAUCGGCCACACUGGAACUGGGACACGGUCCAGACUCCUACGGGAGGCAACAGUAGGGAAUCUUCCGCAAUGGGCGGAAGCCUGACGGAGCAACGCCGGGUGGGUGAUGGAGGUCUUCGGAUCGUAAAACUCUGUUAUUAGGGAAAAACAUAUGUGUAAGUAACUGUGCACAUCUUGACGGUACCUAAUCAGAAAGCCACGGCUAACUACGUG
RNAcentral lists this ribosomal RNA (497 nucleotides) under uncultured bacterium. RNAcentral's name for it is "partial 16S ribosomal RNA". It matches the Rfam family "Bacterial small subunit ribosomal RNA", at positions 28 to 507 of the family's 1533-position model. The record is from RNAcentral.